RNAcentral lists this long non-coding RNA (336 nucleotides) under Nicotiana benthamiana. RNAcentral's name for it is "long non-coding RNA (NBEN_LNC022159)". Lineage: Eukaryota; Viridiplantae; Streptophyta; Magnoliopsida; Solanales; Solanaceae. The record is from RNAcentral.
AGCUUCCCGUCAGAAUGCCUUAUCCAGUCUUGCAGAACAACAUGAACUGGAACUGAAGGACUAAGCCCGAGCUCCUGUUUGAAGAAACCGGAUAGGAAAAAUUAGCAAGCUAGAAGCUGAGAAUUAAAGAUAUUUUCAGGAAUUUUGCAAUACUUCAGUUGACAAAGUUCAGAAAUCAAUUUAGGCACAGAAUUAAAGAUUUUUCCGCAAUUUUGCAAUACUUCAGUUGACAAAGUUCAGAAAUCAAUUUAGGCAAGUUUAGUCCUGCCACCACCAUAUUCCUAUUUGUUUUUUAUUUCUUACCACGCAAUAAAUGAUGAUUUAACUCAUAUAAAA